AUUGCUGGGGAGAUCAUUAAGAAGAUGGGUUCUCGAGCCCUUGACGAGAUUGGAUUCUGGUGGGGUGUCAAAGAUGAGCUUAGGAAACUUGAGGCCACAGUUUCUAGUAUCCAUAAUGUGCUUCUGGAUGCUGAGGAGCAGCAAAAACAUAACCAUCAAGUGAAAGGCUGGCUUGAGAAGCUACAAGAAGUUGUUUAUGAUGCUGAU
Molecule: unclassified non-coding RNA, 207 nt
Filed under: Hevea brasiliensis (rubber tree)
Lineage: Eukaryota; Viridiplantae; Streptophyta; Magnoliopsida; Malpighiales; Euphorbiaceae
Source: RNAcentral